This is a non-coding RNA of Triticum aestivum (bread wheat), 135 nucleotides long. Lineage: Eukaryota; Viridiplantae; Streptophyta; Magnoliopsida; Poales; Poaceae. The record is from Rfam.
AUUGUACUCCCUUCGUCCGAAAAUAUUUGUCAUCAAAAUGAAUAAAAGGAGAUGUAUCUAGAUGUAUAUUAGUUCUACAUACAUCCUUUUUCAUCCAUUUUGAUGACAAAUAUUUUCGGACGGAGGGAGUACAAA